AGAGUCCUGAAGGAACGUUGAAGACGACGACGUUGAUAGGCCGGGUGUGUAAGCGCAGCGAUGCGUUGAGCUAACCGGUACUAAUGAACCGUGAGGCUUAACCUUACAACGCCGAAGCUGUU
RNAcentral lists this ribosomal RNA (122 nucleotides) under Escherichia coli. RNAcentral describes it as "partial 23S ribosomal RNA". The stretch from base 1 to 105 matches the Rfam family "Bacterial large subunit ribosomal RNA", at positions 2821 to 2925 of the family's 2925-position model. The record is from RNAcentral. Lineage: Bacteria; Pseudomonadati; Pseudomonadota; Gammaproteobacteria; Enterobacterales; Enterobacteriaceae.